RNAcentral lists this ribosomal RNA (497 nucleotides) under uncultured bacterium. RNAcentral's name for it is "partial 16S ribosomal RNA". It matches the Rfam family "Bacterial small subunit ribosomal RNA", at positions 28 to 507 of the family's 1533-position model. The record is from RNAcentral.
GAUGAACGCUGGCGGCGUGCCUAAUACAUGCAAGUCGAGCGAACGGACGAGAAGCUUGCUUCUCUGAUGUUAGCGGCGGACGGGUGAGUAACACGUGGAUAACCUACCUAUAAGACUGGGAUAACUUCGGGAAACCGGAGCUAAUACCGGAUAAUAUUUUGAACCGCAUGGUUCAAAAGUGAAAGACGGUCUUUCUGUCACUUAUAGAUGGAUCCGCGCUUCAUUAGCUAGUUGGUAAGGUAACGGCUUACCAAGGCAACGAUGCAUAGCCGACCUGAGAGGGGGAUCGGCCACACUGGAACGGAGACACGGUCCAGACUCCUGCGGGAGGCAGCAGUAGGGAAUCUUCCGCAAUGGGGGAAAGCCUGACGGAGCAACGCCGCGUGAGUGAUGAAGGUCUUCGGAUCGUAAAACUCUGUUAUUAGGGAAGAACAUAUGUGUAAGUAACUGUGCACAUCUUGACGGUACCUAAUCAGAAAGCCACGGCUAACUACGUG